CCCCAGCCUGCUAACUAGUCGGGCCAACUGCGGUUGGCUCCGACUUCUUAGAGGGACUAACAAUGUUUAAUUGUUUGAAGGGGGGCAAUAACAGGUCUGUGAUGCCCUUAGAUGUUCUGGGCUGCACGCGCGCUACACUGACAAAGUCAGCGAGUAUACAACCUUGACCGGAAGGUCUGGGCAAUCUUUUGAAACUUUGUCGUGCUGGGGAUAGACCAUUGCAAUUAUUGGUCUUCAACGAGGAAUUCCUAGUAAGCGCAUGUCAUCAGCAUGCGUUGAUUACGUCCCUGCCCUUUGUACACACCGCCCGUCGCUACUACCGAUUGAAUGGCUUAGUGAGGCUUUCGGAUUGGGGCUGGGCCGCAAGGCCUUGGCACCGAGAAGUUGGACAAACUUGGUCAUUUAGAGGAAGUAAAAGUCG
This 421-nucleotide ribosomal RNA is filed under the name Microsporidia sp. RNAcentral describes it as "SSU rRNA". It matches the Rfam family "Eukaryotic small subunit ribosomal RNA", at positions 1341 to 1791 of the family's 1831-position model. The record is from RNAcentral. Lineage: Eukaryota; Fungi; Microsporidia.